This 57-nucleotide transfer RNA is filed under the name Ovis aries (sheep). The record is from Rfam by way of RNAcentral. Lineage: Eukaryota; Metazoa; Chordata; Mammalia; Artiodactyla; Bovidae.
UGGCUAGGAGGUUAAAGCGUCUGCCUGGAAUGCGGGAGACCCAGGUUUGAUCCCUGG